GAAGAAAGAGGGGGGGGGGAGGAAAAUAGGAAAGUAGAACGGAAAGGUUCUGCUUGCAGGGUAAUUGAGUGGAGAAUGGGUGAGUAACACGUAGGUGAUAUGUGCUGCACUUCGGGAUAAGCCUGGGAAACUGGGUCUAAUACCGUAUAGGAGCCAUUUUUAGUGUGAUGGUUGGAAAGUUUUUUCGGUGUAGGAUGAGCUCGCGGCCUAUCAGCUUGUUGGUGGGGUAAUGGCCUACCAAGGCGGCGACGGGUAGCCGGCCUGGGAGGGUGGACGGCCAAAAUGGGACUGGAGAAAGGGCCAGAACCCUAAGGGAAGGAGGAGGGGGGAAUAAUUGAGAAUGGGGGGGAGGCUGAUGCAGGGAAGCCGGGGGGGGGGAGAAGGGCUUUGGGUUGGAAAACCCUUUCGAUAGGGAAGAAGGUGUAUGUGACGGUACCUAGAUAAGAAGCACCGGCUAACUACGUU
This 465-nucleotide ribosomal RNA is filed under the name uncultured bacterium. RNAcentral describes it as "partial 16S ribosomal RNA". The stretch from base 49 to 465 matches the Rfam family "Bacterial small subunit ribosomal RNA", at positions 39 to 507 of the family's 1533-position model. The record is from RNAcentral.